This 232-nucleotide ribosomal RNA is filed under the name uncultured bacterium. RNAcentral's name for it is "partial 16S ribosomal RNA". It matches the Rfam family "Bacterial small subunit ribosomal RNA", at positions 118 to 348 of the family's 1533-position model. The record is from RNAcentral.
UGAGGAACAUGACCUUCGGCGGGGGAUAGCCGGCCCAACGGCCGGGUAAUACCGCGUACGACCACAUGGGGACAUCCCUGAGUGGUGAAAGCAGCAAUGCGCCGAUGGAGUGCCUCGCGGCCUAUCAGCUAGUUGGUGAGGUAACGGCUCACCAAGGCAACGACGGGUAGCUGGUCUGAGAGGAUGGCCAGCCACAUUGGGACUGAGACACGGCCCAGACCUGUACGGGGGG